RNAcentral lists this ribosomal RNA (468 nucleotides) under uncultured bacterium. RNAcentral describes it as "partial 16S ribosomal RNA". It matches the Rfam family "Bacterial small subunit ribosomal RNA", at positions 28 to 507 of the family's 1533-position model. The record is from RNAcentral.
GAUGAACGCUGGCGGCGUGCUUAACACAUGCAAGUCGAACGGAAAGGCCCUGCUUUUGUUGGUUGCUCGAGUGGCGAACGGGUAAGUAACACGUGAGUAACCUGCCCUUGACUUUGGGGUAACUUCAGGAAACUGGGGCUAAUACCGGAUAGGAGCUCCUGCUGCAUGGUGGGGGUUGGAAAGUUUCGGCGGUUGGGGAUGGACUCGCGGCUUAUCAGCUUGUUGGUGGGGUAGUGGCUUACCAAGGCUUUGACGGGUAGCCGGCCUGAGAGGGUGACCGGCCACAUUGGGACUGAGGUACGGCCCAGACUCCUACGGGAGGCAGCAGUGGGGAAUAUUGCACAAUGGGCGGGAGCCUGAUGCAGCAACGCCGCGUGCGGGAUGACGGCCUUCGGGUUGUAAACCGCUUUCGCCUGUGACGACGCGUGAGUGACGGUAAUGGGUAAAGAAGCACCGGCUAACUACGUG